RNAcentral lists this microRNA precursor (100 nucleotides) under Rhinopithecus roxellana (golden snub-nosed monkey). RNAcentral describes it as "miRNA (ENSRROG00000027241.1)". Lineage: Eukaryota; Metazoa; Chordata; Mammalia; Primates; Cercopithecidae. The record is from RNAcentral.
UGAGGCAGGAGAAUUGCUUGAACCCAGGAGGCGGAGGUUGCAGUGAGCUGAGAUCGUGCCACUGCACUCCAGCCUGGGUGACAGAGCGAGACUCCGUCUC